This 450-nucleotide ribosomal RNA is filed under the name uncultured Glomeromycotina. Its description in RNAcentral is "SSU rRNA". It matches the Rfam family "Eukaryotic small subunit ribosomal RNA", at positions 569 to 1023 of the family's 1831-position model. Lineage: Eukaryota; Fungi; Glomeromycota. The record is from RNAcentral.
AGCAGCCGCGGUAAUUCCAGCUCCAAUAGCGUAUAUUAAAGUUGUUGCAGUUAAAAAGCUCGUAGUUGAAUUUCGGGAUCAAUAUGUCGGUCGUGCCUCCGGUACGUACUGGCAUGAUUGAUUUCUCCCUUCUGAUGAACCAUGAUGCCAUUAAUUUGGUGUCUUGGGGAAUCAGGACUGUUACUUUGAAAAAAUUAGAGUGUUUAAAGCAGGCUCACGCUUGAAUACAUUAGCAUGGAAUAAUGAAAUAGGACGUUUGAUUCUAUUUUGUUGGUUUCUAGGAUCGACGUAAUGAUUAAUAGGGAUAGUUGGGGGCAUUAGUAUUCAAUUGUCAGAGGUGAAAUUCUUGGAUUUAUUGAAGACUAACUACUGCGAAAGCAUUUGCCAAGGAUGUUUUCAUUAAUCAAGAACGAAAGUUAGGGGAUCGAAGACGAUCAGAUACCGUCGUAG